RNAcentral lists this long non-coding RNA (288 nucleotides) under Homo sapiens (human). RNAcentral describes it as "HSALNT0388919". Lineage: Eukaryota; Metazoa; Chordata; Mammalia; Primates; Hominidae. The record is from RNAcentral.
CCACGCCGAGGCUCCACCCCUCCUUAGGGCAGAGGAGGAAACAGAUUCAGAUGGCAAAGGCAGGUAAGUAGCUAAGUCAGGAUUCAAACCCAGGACUCCAGAGGCUAACAACCCUCACUGCCUCUGUCUUGUCCUGGGCCAGCCCCAACAGCAUCUGUUGGCAGAGGUGUCAAAGGAGACGUUGGAGACAUUAUCUUGGAUCCAGGAAAUGAAGGGAUUCACAGAAAACGGGACGUGCUACUUUACCAGCACAUCACUGGGGGUAGGAGAUGAGGUCAGAGAACUCGC